RNAcentral lists this unclassified non-coding RNA (332 nucleotides) under soil metagenome. Its description in RNAcentral is "partial contains 5.8S ribosomal RNA, internal transcribed spacer 2, and large subunit ribosomal RNA". The stretch from base 1 to 120 matches the Rfam family "5.8S ribosomal RNA", at positions 35 to 154 of the family's 154-position model. The record is from RNAcentral.
GAUGAAGAACGUAGCGAAAUGCGAUAAGUAAUGUGAAUUGCAGAAUUCAGUGAAUCAUCGAAUCUUUGAACGCACAUUGCGCCCGCCAGUAUUCUGGCGGGCAUGCCUGUUCGAGCGUCAUUUCAACCCUCAAGCACAGCUUGGUGUUGGGACUCGCGUUAAUUCGCGUUCCCCAAAUUGAUUGGCGGUCACGUCGAGCUUCCAUAGCGUAGUAGUAAAACCCUCGUUACUGGUAAUCGUCGCGGCCACGCCGUUAAACCCCAACUUCUGAAUGUUGACCUCGGAUCAGGUAGGAAUACCCGCUGAACUUAAGAAUAUCAAUAAGCGGAGGA